Molecule: ribosomal RNA, 464 nt
Filed under: uncultured bacterium
Lineage: Bacteria
Description: bacterial SSU rRNA
Rfam family: Bacterial small subunit ribosomal RNA
Source: RNAcentral
CCUACGGGAGGCUGCAGUCGAGAAUUUUUCUCAAUGGGGGAAACCCUGAAGGAGCGACGCCGCGUGGAGGAUGAAGGUCUUCGGAUUGUAAACUCCUGUCAUGAGGGAGUAAGGCAUUGCGUUAACUGCGUGGAUGCUUGAUAGUACCUCAAGAGGAAGGGACGGCUAACUCUGUGCCAGCAGCCGCGGUAAUACAGAGGUCCCAAGCGUUGUUCGGAUUCAUUGGGCGUAAAGGGUGCGUAGGCGGCCAUGUAAGUCAGAUGUGAAAUUCCUGGGCUCAACCUCGGAACUGCAUUUGAUACUGCGUGGCUAGAGUACUGGAGGGGAGACUGGAAUUCACGGUGUAGCAGUGAAAUGCGUAGAUAUCGUGAGGAAGGCCAGCGGCGAAGGCGAGUCUCUGGACAGUAACUGACGCUGAGGCACGAAGGCUAGGGGAGCAAACGGGAUUAGAUACCCCUGUAGUC